CAGCGCGUGAGUCAUGCGGGGGUGGGCGUGAGGGACGGGGCGGCAGUCCCUCGGAGGUAACCCCACACUCCGGGGCAGCGGACCCCGGUUCCCGAAAGAACCUCGCAAAACGCGGAGAGUGGGACUGGGUUUGGCAAUUUUUGGAGAAUGAUGGAGCCUCUGACAACACUCAGAAGAGGAGCUUCUGGUUCUUCUGUUAAGACCAUAAAUGGACUCAGAACAGAGUUGCAGAUGGAAUGCCCAACAUGACUUGCAUGCAUGUCAGUCGACUCCAUCCAGUUACCCUGUUACAAGGCAACACCUUGGCUUUAGAAGAAGCAUGCUGUUGUAAUGGAUGUGAUUUCUUCAUGCCUUUAAAUUUGUCAUUUCACAACCAAAAGAUUAUUUUCC
RNAcentral lists this long non-coding RNA (390 nucleotides) under Chloebia gouldiae (Gouldian finch). RNAcentral's name for it is "Erythrura gouldiae (Gouldian finch) lncRNA (ENSEGOG00005000272.1)". Lineage: Eukaryota; Metazoa; Chordata; Aves; Passeriformes; Passeridae. The record is from RNAcentral.